RNAcentral lists this ribosomal RNA (423 nucleotides) under uncultured Ureaplasma sp. RNAcentral describes it as "bacterial SSU rRNA". It matches the Rfam family "Bacterial small subunit ribosomal RNA", at positions 355 to 765 of the family's 1533-position model. The record is from RNAcentral. Lineage: Bacteria; Bacillati; Mycoplasmatota; Mycoplasmoidales; Mycoplasmoidaceae.
UAGGGAAUUUUUCACAAUGGGCGAAAGCCUGAUGAAGCAAUGCCGCGUGGACGAUGAAGGUCAUAUUGAUCGUAAAGUCCUUUUAUGAGGGAAGAACAACUAAAAUAGGAAAUGAUUUUAGUCUGACUGUACCUCUUGAAUAAGUAACGGCUAACUAUGUGCCAGCAGCCGCGGUAAUACAUAGGUUGCAAGCGUUAUCCGGAUUUACUGGGCGUAAAACGAGCGCUGGACGGAGUUUAUGAAUGUCUGGUGUGAAAUACAGUUGCUCAACAAUCUGUUUUGCAUUAGAAACUGUAAGUCUAGAGUGUAGUAGGGAUUCUGGAACUCCAUGUGGAGCGGUGGAAUGCGUAGAUAUAUGGAAGAACACCAGUGGCGAAGGCGAGAACUUGGACUAUCACUGACGUUUAGGCUCGAAAGUGUGGG